RNAcentral lists this microRNA precursor (77 nucleotides) under Schistosoma curassoni. RNAcentral describes it as "mir-3492 microRNA precursor family". It matches the Rfam family "mir-3492 microRNA precursor family". The record is from Rfam by way of RNAcentral. Lineage: Eukaryota; Metazoa; Platyhelminthes; Trematoda; Strigeidida; Schistosomatidae.
AGCUUUCUGAAUCCGUGGAGAGAUUUCGUUAGACUCAACCCGUCAGGGUAGAUGAGAUUCGAAAGAUACGUAAAGCU